GCUUGCCUCCAUCACACACACACUAACAUCGGAACAAUACAGUGAAGAUUAGUGCGGCCCCUGCCCGAGGGAGACAGCCAGAUGAGUGAAGUCAUCCAGUUUACU
Molecule: small nuclear RNA, 105 nt
Organism: Cervus hanglu yarkandensis (Yarkand deer)
Lineage: Eukaryota; Metazoa; Chordata; Mammalia; Artiodactyla; Cervidae
Source: Ensembl